AAUUUAAACAUGGUUUUUAAAGAAAAAGUUUUUAAUAGUCUUUAUAUAUUAAAUUUAUAAAAUAUAAAAAAAAUAUAGAAGAAAGUUUUUUUUUAUUUUCAUUAAUAUGAAAUAAGUUAUUAAUUUUUAAACUUGGCGAUGCUUGUGCCAGCCGCCGCGGUUAUACAAGCAAGUUAAUUUUUCUUUUUCUAUUAAGAAAAAGAAAAUUAAUUUAGUAAUAAUUUUUAUAGGUGAAAUUAAAAAAUUUAAAGUUUUUGU
This 258-nucleotide ribosomal RNA is filed under the name Ixodes trichosuri. RNAcentral's name for it is "partial small rRNA subunit". Lineage: Eukaryota; Metazoa; Arthropoda; Arachnida; Ixodida; Ixodidae. The record is from RNAcentral.